Pygocentrus nattereri (red-bellied piranha) is the source of this 2163-nucleotide long non-coding RNA. NCBI's taxonomy places the organism in Eukaryota, Metazoa, Chordata, Actinopteri, Characiformes, Serrasalmidae. The record is from Ensembl.
GCUUAGACGCCGCAAAAAAACCCGAAAAAAUCGAGUCUGUUUUCCGUGAGAGUUCAAUGGGUUUAUUUAAAAGAAUCGGCUCAAAUGAACGAUUCGUUCGCGAGUCGUACGUCGCUACAGCAGCAGCAGCGGCGGCGGAACACAGCUGGGGGAAGGAGGAGGCCAGGCUGGAGCCCAACGACUCGCUGCGGGGGAAUGGACAGCGUUUGAUCCGGAGAGGGUUUACUUCGUGUUUCCUGUCAAAACCGCAGUUUCAACUUGGAUCAAUGCACGCAAGCAGUUUGAAGAAGAGAGAGAAACUUAACCUGAACCCGCUGGCGUCAACGCAGAAGAAACCAGGGCAAGUGGAAAUUGACGGUGUCAACAAAAAAACUACGUGCUACUCACCAGUUUAUGGGGUAUGACGGCGAGGUGCAACUGUGAUCUGUGGCAGCUCCUCUGAUUAAUAACGUUACUCUCAUAAGCUGGGAGUCCUGCUGACACCGUGAUGCAACACUGCCAAAUCCAAAAACACAAAAGGCAUGCAGGGCGGAGAGGUACAUGCAGGGCAUUGUAAGGAAAAGACUGUACCCAGAAACUUUAUAAACCUUAUAAGACACAUGUAAGUUCACUGGUCAUUAUGGAUCACAGAUAAAAUGUUGAUAUUUGUAGUGUAGACAAACGGAAAUCCUGGUCCUGGUGAGCCUGGUUCCUCCCAAGGUUUCUUCCUCAGUUCUGAGGGAGUUUUUUCCUUGCCACUGUUGCCCCUGGCUUGCCCACUGGGGGGUUUCUGUACAUUCUUACAGUCCUGUGGAAACUUUGUCUUUUCUGAAAUCCUGUAAAGCUGCUUUGUGACAACAUCCGUUGUAAAAAGCGCUAUACAAAUAAAUUUGAUUUGAUUUGAUUUGGUAAUGGUGAACAAUUUUGACUCUGUUAAUUUCUCUAGAAAAAUCUGUGGCGUUCCACUUUAAGACGUUGUGUUGAUCUGAGUUUCUGUAAAAUAGGGUAAAUAGGGUACAGUCUGUUUCUCUGCAUUCCCCCCCCCAAAUCACUGUGAAAUUGUCCAGCUGCAGCAUCUUACUACAGAUUGUUGCUGUCCAAAGUACAGAUGUAGAUAUAAAGUGUAUACUUGUUUAAAGAUCUUCAACCUAGAUGUUCUCUUUAAAUGGAAAUGCUAGGACUAAGAAAAGUUUCUGUUAUGAAAUUAAAGUAUGGUGCGGAGUGUAUCAUUGUUAUGAGAAGUCUGCAACUGCAAACACAGCUUUCUUUUGUACAGUGGUUGUACUUACUUCGAAUCCAGGAUUUCUAACACGUCAUUAGACCAACUGCAAUUACUGAUAUGUCACUUGCAAGUGUAAAUGGUGGUUACUGGUUGUUUCCUUGCUUAAAACCCCAGUAAAUGAGUGCUGGUCCCUGUGGCUCAGUAAUUCCUGACUAGGGCUUUAAACAAGCAUCAAGUUUAAGAACAAAGACUGAAAAACAUGCUUUUUGAAUAUGUCUUUUUUGAGCAGCAUUGGAUUUGAAGUUAUUUGGCCACAGUACCAGAAUCCAUGUUUGGCAAGAACCAGAGACUGCAUUUGUUCAGGGGAACUUCAUACAAACCGUAAUGGUUUAGGGCUGCUUUGCUGCCUCAGGGCUGGGCCAGCAAUCAUAGAAUCGACUAUGAACUCUGUUUUAUACCAGAGUGUGCCUGAGGAGAAUGUGAGGCCAUCUGCCAAAAAGUUGAGGCUGUAGAAGUGGACCUUUCAACAGGAUAAAGAUCCCAAACAUACUAGCAAAUCCACCAAGGAAUGGCUCCAAAUGAAGAAAUAGAGGGUUGUCGGAUGGCGUAGUCAAAGCCCAAAACUGAAUCCCUUUGAAAUGCUGUGGGGGGACUUGAAACGUGCUGUUCUGUAAAUCCCACAAACAUUACACAGUUGAAAUAAUUCUGCAUGAAGGAGUGGCAAAAGGUUUCCCAGCAGAUGCCAGAAACUGGUAGAUACUUAUAGGAAACACUUGGAUAAACCAGGGGUAACUUUUUCAACAGAAAAAACAUCUCAGUUAAUUCAUUUUUAAAUAAAUGUUUGCAAAUUCAAAUGAUCUUUGUUUUGCAUUCUGUUAUGUAAUAUUUAUCUAUACAUACUGCUUGGCGGAUGAUAAAUACUUAAGUGCUCACCUACGGUGGGGAGAACAAGUAUUUGAUAC